Molecule: non-coding RNA, 21 nt
Filed under: Caenorhabditis elegans
Lineage: Eukaryota; Metazoa; Nematoda; Chromadorea; Rhabditida; Rhabditidae
Source: RNAcentral
UCAGUUAAAGACUUUGGAAAA